AAAUUGAAGAGUUUGAUCAUGGCUCAGAUUGAACGCUGGCGGCAGGCCUAACACAUGCAAGUCGAGCGGUAGCACAGAGAGCUUGCUCUCGGGUGACGAGCGGCGGACGGGUGAGUAAUGUCUGGGAAACUGCCUGAUGGAGGGGGAUAACUACUGGAAACGGUAGCUAAUACCGCAUAACGUCGCAAGACCAAAGUGGGGGACCUUCGGGCCUCAUGCCAUCAGAUGUGCCCAGAUGGGAUUAGCUGGUAGGUGGGGUAACGGCUCACCUAGGCGACGAUCCCUAGCUGGUCUGAGAGGAUGACCAGCCACACUGGAACUGAGACACGGUCCAGACUCCUACGGGAGGCAGCAGUGGGGAAUAUUGCACAAUGGGCGCAAGCCUGAUGCAGCCAUGCCGCGUGUGUGAAGAAGGCCUUCGGGUUGUAAAGCACUUUCAGCGGGGAGGAAGGCGGUGAGGUUAAUAACCUCACCGAUUGACGUUACCCGCAGAAGAAGCACCGGCUAACUCCGUGCCAGCAGCCGCGGUAAUACGGAGGGUGCAAGCGUUAAUCGGAAUUACUGGGCGUAAAGCGCACGCAGGCGGUCUGUCAAGUCGGAUGUGAAAUCCCCGGGCUCAACCUGGGAACUGCAUUCGAAACUGGCAGGCUAGAGUCUUGUAGAGGGGGGUAGAAUUCCAGGUGUAGCGGUGAAAUGCGUAGAGAUCUGGAGGAAUACCGGUGGCGAAGGCGGCCCCCUGGACAAAGACUGACGCUCAGGUGCGAAAGCGUGGGGAGCAAACAGGAUUAGAUACCCUGGUAGUCCACGCUGUAAACGAUGUCGAUUUGGAGGUUGUGCCCUUGAGGCGUGGCUUCCGGAGCUAACGCGUUAAAUCGACCGCCUGGGGAGUACGGCCGCAAGGUUAAAACUCAAAUGAAUUGACGGGGGCCCGCACAAGCGGUGGAGCAUGUGGUUUAAUUCGAUGCAACGCGAAGAACCUUACCUGGUCUUGACAUCCACAGAACUUAGCAGAGAUGCUUUGGUGCCUUCGGGAACUGUGAGACAGGUGCUGCAUGGCUGUCGUCAGCUCGUGUUGUGAAAUGUUGGGUUAAGUCCCGCAACGAGCGCAACCCUUAUCCUUUGUUGCCAGCGGUCCGGCCGGGAACUCAAAGGAGACUGCCAGUGAUAAACUGGAGGAAGGUGGGGAUGACGUCAAGUCAUCAUGGCCCUUACGACCAGGGCUACACACGUGCUACAAUGGCAUAUACAAAGAGAAGCGACCUCGCGAGAGCAAGCGGACCUCAUAAAGUAUGUCGUAGUCCGGAUUGGAGUCUGCAACUCGACUCCAUGAAGUCGGAAUCGCUAGUAAUCGUAGAUCAGAAUGCUACGGUGAAUACGUUCCCGGGCCUUGUACACACCGCCCGUCACACCAUGGGAGUGGGUUGCAAAAGAAGUAGGUAGCUUAACCUUCGGGAGGGCGCUUACCACUUUGUGAUUCAUGACUGGGGUGAAGUCGUAACAAGGUAACCGUAGGGGAACCUGCGGUUGGAUCACCUCCUUA
This 1540-nucleotide ribosomal RNA is filed under the name Klebsiella variicola. Its description in RNAcentral is "bacterial SSU rRNA". It matches the Rfam family "Bacterial small subunit ribosomal RNA". RNAcentral also lists the same sequence under 1 other name. The record is from RNAcentral. Lineage: Bacteria; Pseudomonadati; Pseudomonadota; Gammaproteobacteria; Enterobacterales; Enterobacteriaceae.